This 254-nucleotide ribosomal RNA is filed under the name uncultured bacterium. RNAcentral's name for it is "partial 16S ribosomal RNA". It matches the Rfam family "Bacterial small subunit ribosomal RNA", at positions 524 to 776 of the family's 1533-position model. The record is from RNAcentral.
UACGGAGGGGGCGAGCGUUGUCCGAAGUUACUGGGCGUAAAGCGCGCGUAGGCGGGCUAUUAAGUGAGAGGUGAAAGGCUGGGGCUCAACCCCAUGCAGUGCCUCUCAUACUGGUAGUCUUGAGGGCGGUAGGGAAGAGUGGAAUGGCUGGUGUAGCGGUGAAAUGCGUAGAUAUCAGGAAGAACACCGAUGGCGAAGGCAGCUCUCUGGGACGGUACUGACGCUGAGACGCGAAAGCGUGGGGAGCGAACAGG